UCGCGAAAACUUCWCACUGGGGGCAACCCCGAUGAGGGAAUUCCUAGUGCUAGCGCAUUUGCGUUAGCUUUUCUUUAGUGUAGACAGCUAAAGGAAUAAGGGCUGGGUAAGACGGGUGCCAGCCGCCGCGGUAAUACCCGCKGCYCKAAGUGGUGGUCGAUAUUAUUGAGUCUAAAACGUUCGUAGCCGGUUCGCUAAAUCCCUGGGUAAAUCG
This 214-nucleotide ribosomal RNA is filed under the name uncultured Methanomassiliicoccales archaeon. RNAcentral's name for it is "partial 16S ribosomal RNA". It matches the Rfam family "Archaeal small subunit ribosomal RNA", at positions 339 to 552 of the family's 1478-position model. The record is from RNAcentral. Lineage: Archaea; Methanobacteriati; Thermoplasmatota; Thermoplasmata; Methanomassiliicoccales.